UCUUUCUACAAGGAGUUACCAAGUUGGAAAAAUUCAGAGUUUUCCGGUUCCGACAUGUCACGGACGCUACAUAUGAGACCGUUCCAGAGCCUUACCCAGCACCACAGUACAGAAGAGGUUAAAAGACAGUGUUUUCUCAGUAGUUAAUUAGUGACAGACCCACCACUAGCCAACAGCAGGGCCAGAGCCUUACCCAGCACCACAGUACAGAAGAGGUUAAAGGACAGUGUUUUCUCAGUAGUUAAUUAGUGACAGACCCACCACUACAUACGAGACCGUUCCAGAGCCUUACCCAGCACCACAGUACAGAAGAGGUUAAAAGACAGUGUUUUCUCAGUAGUUAAUUAGUGACAGACCCACCACUAGCCAACAGCAGGGCCAGAGCCUUACCCAGCACCACAGUACAGAAGAGGUUAAAAGACAGUGUUUUCUCAGUAGUUAAUUAGUGACAGACCCACCACUAGCCAACAGCAGGGCCAGAGCCUUACCCAGCACCACAGUACAGAAGAGGUUAAAGGACAGUGUUUUCUCAGUAGUUAAUUAGUGACAGACCCACCACUAGCCAACAGCAGGGCCAGAGCCUUACCCAGCACCACAGUACAGAAGAGGUUAAAAGACAGUGUUUUCUCAGUAGUUAAUUAGUGACAGACCCACCACUAGCCAACAGCAGGGCCAGAGCCACAGCCAACAUCACUAUCUUCAUCUUGCUG
Molecule: long non-coding RNA, 710 nt
Organism: Oncorhynchus keta (chum salmon)
Lineage: Eukaryota; Metazoa; Chordata; Actinopteri; Salmoniformes; Salmonidae
Exons: 5
Source: RefSeq, a predicted model, not a curated record